RNAcentral lists this transfer RNA (73 nucleotides) under Felis catus (domestic cat). It matches the Rfam family "tRNA". From Rfam's summary of the family: Transfer RNA (tRNA) molecules are approximately 80 nucleotides in length. Their secondary structure includes four short double-helical elements and three loops (D, anti-codon, and T loops). Further hydrogen bonds mediate the characteristic L-shaped molecular structure. tRNAs have two regions of fundamental functional importance: the anti-codon, which is responsible for specific mRNA codon recognition, and the 3' end, to which the tRNAs corresponding amino acid is attached (by aminoacyl-tRNA synthetases). tRNAs cope with the degeneracy of the genetic code in two manners: having more than one tRNA (with a specific anti-codon) for a particular amino acid; and 'wobble' base-pairing, i.e. permitting non-standard base-pairing at the 3rd anti-codon position. The record is from Rfam by way of RNAcentral. Lineage: Eukaryota; Metazoa; Chordata; Mammalia; Carnivora; Felidae.
GCCUGGAUGGCUGAGUUGGUGGAGCAUAAGACUCUUGAUCUUGGGGUUGUGGGUUCAAGUCCCACGCUGGGAU